This 309-nucleotide ribosomal RNA is filed under the name Triticum aestivum (bread wheat). RNAcentral describes it as "partial small subunit ribosomal RNA". Lineage: Eukaryota; Viridiplantae; Streptophyta; Magnoliopsida; Poales; Poaceae. The record is from RNAcentral.
AUGUACCCUCGUCGCCGUGAACGCACUGUUGCUGCACCACCACAACCGAACAGGUGGCUUCCUCCACCAAGAGCGCUCGUGAAGAUUAAUGUUGAUGGGGCUGUGGUACGAUCACGGAGAGGAGGCGCAGUCGCUGCCCUAUGCCGCGACCAUGAUGGGCACUUUUUGGGCUCUUCGGCGAUGGUUUACUAUGGGAUUACGGACCCCUUAACCUUGGAGACAUAUGCAUGCCGUGAGGCUCUUGCUUUGGCGGAUGACCUGGGAGAAGCAAAAGAUUUGCGUGGCAUCGGACUGCGAAGAGGCGGUUAA